Molecule: long non-coding RNA, 315 nt
Filed under: Lupinus mutabilis
Lineage: Eukaryota; Viridiplantae; Streptophyta; Magnoliopsida; Fabales; Fabaceae
Description: partial ncRNA
Source: RNAcentral
AAAUAUGACUGACACUGAUCACUCUGUCCAGGUGGAUUCAAGAAGUGGUGAAGAGACAUCAUCAGCAGCUCCAUCAUCCACACCUACAACAUCAACCACCGCCAAUAAUUUAACUACUACUAUCACAACUUCAACUGUAACUACUCCUUCGACAUCCACCAGUUCCGGAAACAGCGGGGUUAAAGUCAAAAACAAAAGUGAUGAUAAGCAAGACUCAUCCUCAGAACCACCAAAAAAAUUUCAGAAAACCAAUCAGCAGCAAUCUGUUAAAGGAAGAAAUCAAAAUAAAGUUGGUAAAAAGCACCAUCACCACCA